Molecule: long non-coding RNA, 1109 nt
Organism: Pundamilia nyererei
Lineage: Eukaryota; Metazoa; Chordata; Actinopteri; Cichliformes; Cichlidae
Exons: 3
Source: RefSeq, a predicted model, not a curated record
UUUGACUGGCAGCUGCAGUCACGGAGAAACUUGCACAUCUCUGUUUGGGAAUGGAUCAGGACCCAGAGAGGAGGUCCAGCGUUUACUUUACAAAACCACAAUGGACUGUUUCAAACUGACAGCGUGAGGUGUUCUGCAGUAAACUGGAUUAACCGACAGAAGGACCCGAGGCCCUGGCGUACUUUUUCGCUGACCACGAUGCACCAGGACUGGAAAGCUGCUCCAUCAUCAUAUGUUUGGAAAUCACAAUUUAAAAACCACUAACAACUCAAAGGGGCUGCCCUCAGAUUAGACCUCAGCACCACCCAGUGACAGCAGACAGAUCAUCCUAUGAUCCACGCUUUGCAGUAACUCCAACAUUAACUGAUGAAAAAAGUGCAAAGGCUAAAGCACCAUAUUGUGUGCUUUCAGUGAAAGCUGCAGCUGUUUUAUUGAUAAAGUUAAAGACAAAAAGUCAAAGGGAUUAAUCACCCCUGCUAUGUAUCAGCAUAAACAGUACCUCAGUUUGGUGUUUCAGAAAGCUGCUGAUCUGCACAGCUUCUGUUUAAUAGACUGAAUGCAGUCAGCUGCAUGAAGAAGACAUGAGAUUUUCUCUGACAGCAUUGAAUACAACCUGAUGAAGGUCAAAGGUCGUCACUUGUAUGUUAAACUAAAAGGUUAAUCUACAGUUCUUUCACACUGCGUGUGUUAUUUGUAAUUGAGUCAGUCAUACCAGAAUAAUCAGAGGAUAAUAUAUAUUUUAAUAACUAGCUACAGGACUGAAUAUAACCUGAUCAUGUGAGUCCAGAGCCUCUUUAUAUGAGGAUGAUGUGCAGUACUUCUAACAGCACACAAACCAAAUGUCGCUGUCACACCGUUCAUGAAGUGCUGGGGUUGCACAUUUUCUGGGAUGGGCUUAAGGUGGAGGUCUGAAGAUUUCCCUCUGAGGGCGCUGCUGGUAAACAGUUUGAGUCCUGCUUGAUCCCUGCGAUGAGUUUCAGUCUUCCUGAUGUUUCUGAAAUGACGUCUUUCUCAGUAGUUAAACAGAACAUCUGGCAAAGGACAGCUGUGCUCCUGCUGGUCACUGGUUUUCCCCCAGGGUGAAUGUAUCUGUUGAUGAUUCUAAUAAA